This 891-nucleotide ribosomal RNA is filed under the name Lactiplantibacillus plantarum. Its description in RNAcentral is "bacterial SSU rRNA". It matches the Rfam family "Bacterial small subunit ribosomal RNA", at positions 38 to 897 of the family's 1533-position model. Lineage: Bacteria; Bacillati; Bacillota; Bacilli; Lactobacillales; Lactobacillaceae. The record is from RNAcentral.
AGGGGCGUGCUAUAAUGCAAGUCGACGAACUCUGGUAUUGAUUGGUGCUUGCAUCAUGAUUUACAUUUGAGUGAGUGGCGAACUGGUGAGUAACACGUGGGAAACCUGCCCAGAAGCGGGGGAUAACACCUGGAAACAGAUGCUAAUACCGCAUAACAACUUGGACCGCAUGGUCCGAGCUUGAAAGAUGGCUUCGGCUAUCACUUUUGGAUGGUCCCGCGGCGUAUUAGCUAGAUGGUGGGGUAACGGCUCACCAUGGCAAUGAUACGUAGCCGACCUGAGAGGGUAAUCGGCCACAUUGGGACUGAGACACGGCCCAAACUCCUACGGGAGGCAGCAGUAGGGAAUCUUCCACAAUGGACGAAAGUCUGAUGGAGCAACGCCGCGUGAGUGAAGAAGGGUUUCGGCUCGUAAAACUCUGUUGUUAAAGAAGAACAUAUCUGAGAGUAACUGUUCAGGUAUUGACGGUAUUUAACCAGAAAGCCACGGCUAACUACGUGCCAGCAGCCGCGGUAAUACGUAGGUGGCAAGCGUUGUCCGGAUUUAUUGGGCGUAAAGCGAGCGCAGGCGGUUUUUUAAGUCUGAUGUGAAAGCCUUCGGCUCAACCGAAGAAGUGCAUCGGAAACUGGGAAACUUGAGUGCAGAAGAGGACAGUGGAACUCCAUGUGUAGCGGUGAAAUGCGUAGAUAUAUGGAAGAACACCAGUGGCGAAGGCGGCUGUCUGGUCUGUAACUGACGCUGAGGCUCGAAAGUAUGGGUAGCAAACAGGAUUAGAUACCCUGGUAGUCCAUACCGUAAACGAUGAAUGCUAAGUGUUGGAGGGUUUCCGCCCUUCAGUGCUGCAGCUAACGCAUUAAGCAUUCCGCCUGGGGAGUACGGCCGCCAGGCUGA